CCAACCGGGAUUGCCUUAGUAACGGCGAGUGAAGCGGCAAAAGCUCAAAUUUGAAAUCUGGUACCUUCGGUGCCCGAGUUGUAAUUUGGAGAGGGCAACUUUGGGGCCGUUCCUUGUCUAUGUUCCUUGGAACAGGACGUCAUAGAGGGUGAGAAUCCCGUGUGGCGAGGAGUGCGGUUCUUUGUAAAGUGCCUUCGAAGAGUCGAGUUGUUUGGGAAUGCAGCUCUAAGUGGGUGGUAAAUUCCAUCUAAAGCUAAAUAUUGGCGAGAGACCGAUAGCGAACAAGUACAGUGAUGGAAAGAUGAAAAGAACUUUGAAAAGAGAGUGAAAAAGUACGUGAAAUUGUUGAAAGGGAAGGGCAUUUGAUCAGACAUGGUGUUUUGUGCCCUCUGCUCCUUGUGGGUAGGGGAAUCUCGCAUUUCACUGGGCCAGCAUCAGUUUUGGUGGCAGGAUAAAUCCAUAGGAAUGUAGCUUGCCUCGGUAAGUAUUAUAGCCUGUGGGAAUACUGCCAGCUGGGACUGAGGACUGCGACGUAAGUCAAGGAUGCUGGCAUAAUGGUUAUAUGCCGCCCGUCUUGAAACACGGACCUCCUGUGUGAGGGUUCCCCUAAUAGUG
This 615-nucleotide ribosomal RNA is filed under the name Saccharomyces cerevisiae (brewer's yeast). Its description in RNAcentral is "eukaryotic LSU rRNA". It matches the Rfam family "Eukaryotic large subunit ribosomal RNA", at positions 65 to 664 of the family's 3401-position model. Lineage: Eukaryota; Fungi; Ascomycota; Saccharomycetes; Saccharomycetales; Saccharomycetaceae. The record is from RNAcentral.